RNAcentral lists this ribosomal RNA (438 nucleotides) under uncultured bacterium. RNAcentral describes it as "partial 16S ribosomal RNA". It matches the Rfam family "Bacterial small subunit ribosomal RNA", at positions 339 to 795 of the family's 1533-position model. The record is from RNAcentral.
CUACGGGAUGCACCAGUGAGGAAUAUUGCACAAUGGGGGGAACCCUGAUGCAGCAACGCCGCGUGGAGGAUGACGCAUUUCGGUGUGUAAACUCCUUUUAUAUGUCAAGAAAAUGACGGUAGCAUAUGAAUAAGCACCGGCUAACUCCGUGCCAGCAGCCGCGGUAAUACGGAGGGUGCAAGCGUUACUCGGAAUCACUGGGCGUAAAGGACGCGUAGGCGGGUUGGAAAGUCAGGUGUGAAAUCCUACAGCUUAACUGUAGAACUGCACUUGAAACUUCUAAUCUAGAGUAUGGGAGGGGGAGAUGGAAUUAGUGGUGUAGGGGUAAAAUCCGUAGAUAUCACUAGGAAUACCUAAAGCGAAGGCGAUCUCCUGGAACAUUACUGACGCUAAGGCGUGAAAGCGUGGGGAGCAAACAGGAUUAGAUACCCCUUAGUC